This 384-nucleotide unclassified non-coding RNA is filed under the name Hevea brasiliensis (rubber tree). The record is from RNAcentral. Lineage: Eukaryota; Viridiplantae; Streptophyta; Magnoliopsida; Malpighiales; Euphorbiaceae.
ACCUAGACGAGUCAUUGCAUAUGGAAAUUUGACACAAAAUUCUCCAGAGUUCAAAUUGUUGUUUUUUUUUUUUUGAAUUGCGAGUUCAAAUUGUUAUGUUUGAAAUGAUAGGGCUCACACUGUAAUCUGCCCCAUACUUCAUAGUUUUUUUUUUCCUUCAUAAUUAACCACUUCGAGGUGUAUAUAUUUUAAUGUGUGAACAUGUGCUGUCACAUAAGAACAAUUCCUUUCACUCCUUAUUUGAAAGUCUUGGCUCCACACCUGUUUUAGGAGCUGGCUAUGGAUAUUGUUUAUUAGGGAUGACAAAAGUUCUCAAAUCCGAUCCGAUAGGCCCUGAACCCAAUCUAUUUUUCCCGACCCCGAUUUGUGCAGGGCGGAAAUGGG